GCAGCACACACUCCACAGUACCUUCCACCUGAGCUAUACACCUGAGCCUCACCUGAGCUUAUUACCUCAGCCAGCCAUGAAGGUCGCAUUUUUCUUCGCCGGGGUCCUUGUCCUCGUGUUCGUCGCCUCUUCCUUUGGGGCUCCUGACGUGUCAUCCCACGCCUCCUUCUCCUCGGGCUCCAGCUACGGACAUCGUCCAGUGCACAGGCCCAGACCAUACAAACCAGUGCACAAGCCCCGCCCCCACAGCAGCGGGUAUGGAGGUUCAGCCACUGGGAACGCAAACUUCAAUCUUGGUGGUCCUCGUUACCACCGCUAGGGAGGCAGUGAGGGAGUCGUGAAUCUUCCUUUACCUGCCUAACUGUUACUGUCUUUCAUUGUGGCCUCGUUUUGGGGUUUGUCUGCUCUCUGUUCUCUAUACUUACUUGCUACGUAGUUUUCUUAUUCUCCUGUUCUUUCAAUCCUUUCUGUUGUUUCGUUUUAUUCUCUGUUCUUUGCCUGUUUGUUAUUUUGUGUCGCAUUCCUACACGUCUUGCUCACAUCAGUGUUUCUUCAAAAUUUUACCUUUUUUAUUUCGUAUCUAAUAUUCUUCGAUCUCUCCUCUUUUUCCUUCCUCUUACAUGUUUAUGUUUAUGUUGUUGUUCACACCUGUUGCCUCAUUAUUAUUUCAUCAAAUCUUUCGGGUCGUGUCUCAGAUGUGAGUUUUCUCCAAAGUCCGACUUCUUUAAUUGCACACCUGUUGGCUAAUUGUUCUCUUUAUUUGUAUGUCUUCACCUGUCUGUCUCUUUUCGUUACAACACAUACGAAUAUAAAAAAAAGUUCAAUAUUUGCUACUUUUCGUUGGCAUAUUUGUUAAACUUUAGUUCUUGAUUAUUGAUUAUUUGUUAACUCAAUAUUUUGAUGUAACUCGAAAUUGUCCAAGAAUCCCAAUAUAAAAUAAAACUAUGAAAAUGCAA
Molecule: long non-coding RNA, 956 nt
Organism: Portunus trituberculatus (swimming crab)
Lineage: Eukaryota; Metazoa; Arthropoda; Malacostraca; Decapoda; Portunidae
Exons: 2
Source: RefSeq, a predicted model, not a curated record